GAUGAACGCUGGCGGCGUGCUAAACACAUGCAAGUCGAACGAAGCACCUUGAUUCGAUUCUUCGGAUGAAGAUCUUGGUGACUGAGUGGCGGACGGGUGAGUAACGCGUGGGUAACCUGCCUCAUACAGGGGGAUAACAGUUAGAAAUGACUGCUAAUACCGCAUAAGACCACAGCACCGCAUGGUGCAGGGGUAAAAACUCCGGUGGUAUGAGAUGGACCCGCGUCUGAUUAGGUAGUUGGUGGGGUAACGGCCUACCAAGCCGACGAUCAGUAGCCGACCUGAGAGGGUGACCGGCCACAUUGGGACUGAGACACGGCCCAAACUCCUACGGGAGGCAGCAGUGGGGAAUAUUGCACAAUGGGGGAAACCCUGAUGCAGCGACGCCGCGUGAGCGAUGAAGUAUUUCGGUAUGUAAAGCUCUAUCAGCAGGGAAGAAAAUGACGGUACCUGACUAAGAAGCACCGGCUAAAUACGUG
Molecule: ribosomal RNA, 479 nt
Filed under: uncultured bacterium
Lineage: Bacteria
Description: partial 16S ribosomal RNA
Rfam family: Bacterial small subunit ribosomal RNA
Source: RNAcentral